CCCGGGCCUUGUACACACCGCCCGUCACACCACGAAAGUCGGCAACACCCGAAGUCCGUGGGCUAACCCGCAAGGGAGGCAGCGGCCGAAGGUGGGGUUGAUGAUUGGGGUG
Molecule: ribosomal RNA, 112 nt
Filed under: uncultured bacterium
Lineage: Bacteria
Description: partial 16S ribosomal RNA
Rfam family: Bacterial small subunit ribosomal RNA
Source: RNAcentral